This is a non-coding RNA of Pelobates cultripes (western spadefoot toad), 206 nucleotides long. Lineage: Eukaryota; Metazoa; Chordata; Amphibia; Anura; Pelobatidae. The record is from the annotation of a GenBank genome assembly.
CUACGAGACCAUCUUUGAUCCUACCCCCCACGUACGGCUAUCCAGUACAAAGUUCCUACUUACUGCUUGGAAAGAAUGGAGCAAUAAGCUUAUUGACUCAGCAACGUUAAUAAAGUGUGCCCCAAUUCUGGCCCUUCAAGCAUUAUCACCUGACCUCCCAGUGGGAUCUUGGAUCAAGGGAGGCAUAGCAAAAGUCUCUGAUUUGU